Molecule: ribosomal RNA, 253 nt
Filed under: uncultured bacterium
Lineage: Bacteria
Description: partial 16S ribosomal RNA
Rfam family: Bacterial small subunit ribosomal RNA
Source: RNAcentral
UACGUAGGUCUCAAGCGUUAUCCGGAAUUACUGGGCGUAAAGCGUCUGCAGCCGGACUUGUAAGUCUGUCUUUAAAUAUCUCGAUUCAAUCGGGAAAAAGGGAUAGAUACUGCAGGUCUAGAGGAUUUUGGAGGUUAGUGGAAUUUCCGGUGGAGCGGUGAAAUGCGUUGAUAUCGGAAGGAAUGCCAAAAGCGAAAGCAGCUAACUAUGAAAUAUCUGACGGUCAGAGACGACAGCUUGGGGAGCAAACGGG